This 253-nucleotide ribosomal RNA is filed under the name uncultured bacterium. RNAcentral describes it as "partial 16S ribosomal RNA". It matches the Rfam family "Bacterial small subunit ribosomal RNA", at positions 524 to 776 of the family's 1533-position model. The record is from RNAcentral.
UACGGGGGGGGUAAGCGUUGUUCGGAAUUACUGGGCGUAAAGGGCUCGCAGGCGGCCAACUAAGUCAGACGUGAAAUCCCUCAGCUUAACUGGGGAACUGCGUCUGAUACUGGAUGGCUUGGAUUCGGGAGAGGAAUGCGGAAUUCCAGGUGUAGCGGUGAAAUGCGUAGAUAUCUGGAGGAACACCGGUGGCGAAGGCGGCAUUCUGGACCGAUAUUGACGCUGAGGAGCGAAAGCCAGGGGAGCAAACGGG